AACGCACAUUGCGCCCGCCAGCACUCUGGCGGGCAUGCCUGUCCGAGCGUCAUUUCAACCCUCAGGCCCCCCUCGGGGGGACUGGUGCUGGGGAUCAGCGGCCGCUCGGCCCCUGUCCCUCAAAUUCAGUGGCGGUCGCGCCGCAGCCUCCCCUGCGUAGUAGCACACCUCGCACCGGAGAGCGGCUCGGCCACGCCGUGAAACCCCCGACUUUUCAAGGUUGACCUCGGAUCAGGUAGGAAUACCCGCUGAACUUAA
Molecule: unclassified non-coding RNA, 258 nt
Filed under: uncultured fungus
Lineage: Eukaryota; Fungi
Description: partial contains 5.8S ribosomal RNA, internal transcribed spacer 2, and large subunit ribosomal RNA
Source: RNAcentral